GACGAACGCUGGCGGCGUGCUUAACACAUGCAAGUCGAACGGAAAGGCCCUGCUUUUGUGGGGUGCUCGAGUGGCGAACGGGUGAGUAACACGUGAGUAACCUGCCCUUGACUUUGGGAUAACUUCAGGAAACUGGGGCUAAUACCGGAUAGGAGCUCCUGCUGCAUGGUGGGGGUUGGAAAGUUUCGGCGGUUGGGGAUGGACUCGCGGCUUAUCAGCUUGUUGGUGGGGUAGUGGCUUACCAAGGCUUUGACGGGUAGCCGGCCUGAGAGGGUGACCGGCCACAUUGGGUCUGAGAUGCGGCCCAGACUCCUAAGGGAGGAAGCAGUGGGGAAUAUUGCACAAUGGGCGGAGGCCUGAUGCAGCAAGGCCGCGGGCGGGAUGACGGCCUUCGGGUUGUAAACCGCCUUCGCUCAUGACGAAGCUUUGUGUGACGGUAGUGGGUAAAGAAGCACCGGCUAACUACGUG
RNAcentral lists this ribosomal RNA (469 nucleotides) under uncultured bacterium. Its description in RNAcentral is "partial 16S ribosomal RNA". It matches the Rfam family "Bacterial small subunit ribosomal RNA", at positions 28 to 507 of the family's 1533-position model. The record is from RNAcentral.